RNAcentral lists this ribosomal RNA (451 nucleotides) under uncultured bacterium. Its description in RNAcentral is "partial 16S ribosomal RNA". It matches the Rfam family "Bacterial small subunit ribosomal RNA", at positions 354 to 796 of the family's 1533-position model. The record is from RNAcentral.
GUGGGGAAUAUUGGACAAUGGGGGGAACCCUGAUCCAGCCAUGCCGCGUGUGUGAAGAAGGCCUUUUGGUUGUAAAGCACUUUAAGCGAGGAGGAGGCUACCGAGAUUAAUACUCUUGGAUAGUGGACGUUACUCGCAGAAUAAGCACCGGCUAACUCUGUGCCAGCAGCCGCGGUAAUACAGAGGGUGCAAGCGUUAAUCGGAUUUACUGGGCGUAAAGCGCGCGUAGGUGGCCAAUUAAGUCAAAUGUGAAAUCCCCGAGCUUAACUUGGGAAUUGCAUUCGAUACUGGUUGGCUAGAGUAUGGGAGAGGAUGGUAGAAUUCCAGGUGUAGCGGUGAAAUGCGUAGAGAUCUGGAGGAAUACCGAUGGCGAAGGCAGCCAUCUGGCCUAAUACUGACACUGAGGUGCGAAAGCAUGGGGAGCAAACAGGAUUAGAUACCCUGGAAGUCC